GGAUUUCUGGAGGUUGUUCCUUUUGGUGUUUUUCUUGAUAAGCUUGGGACACAGUUGAUGAGAAGCAGUCAGGAAGUCUAGCAGAUAUGAAUAGGAAACCACUGGAAUAUAAGGCCAUUCUGUCAACUCAGAACAGACAGAUACCUACAGCUUCAUCACUGCCAGUAGCACACUGCUGGGUUGGCAUUUACUGAUCAAAAGAAACUUUGCCUGAAGAAUUUCCUCUGUCCAAAGAUAAAAGGAAUACAAUACUUUCAUGGU
This is a long non-coding RNA of Gallus gallus (chicken), 261 nucleotides long. RefSeq lists it as uncharacterized. The transcript has 3 exons. NCBI's taxonomy places the organism in Eukaryota, Metazoa, Chordata, Aves, Galliformes, Phasianidae. The record is from RefSeq and is a predicted model, not a curated record.